CCUACGGGUGGCAGCAGUGGGGAAUAUUGCACAAUGGGGGAAACCCUGAUGCAGCGACGCCGCGUGAGCGAUGAAGUAUUUCGGUAUGUAAAGCUCUAUCAGCAGGGAAGAAAAUGACGGUACCUGACUAAGAAGCCCCGGCUAACUACGUGCCAGCAGCCGCGGUAAUACGGAGGAUGCGAGCGUUAUCCGGAUUUAUUGGGUUUAAAGGGUGCGUAGGCGGAACAUUAAGUCAGCGGUAAAAUCGAGGGGCUCAACCCCUUUAAGCCGUUGAAACUGGUGCUCUUGAGUGGGCGAGAAGUAUGCGGAAUGCGUGGUGUAGCGGUGAAAUGCAUAGAUAUCACGCAGAACUCCGAUUGCGAAGGCAGCAUACCGGCGCCCGACUGACGCUGAGGCACGAAAGCGUGGGGAUCGAACAGGAUUAGAUACCCCUGUAGUC
This 439-nucleotide ribosomal RNA is filed under the name uncultured bacterium. RNAcentral's name for it is "partial 16S ribosomal RNA". It matches the Rfam family "Bacterial small subunit ribosomal RNA", at positions 338 to 795 of the family's 1533-position model. The record is from RNAcentral.